GGGCCUAUAGCUUAACCCGGAUAAGAGUCUUCGGCUUCGGACCGAAUGAUGCAGGUUCAAAUCCUGCUAGGCCCG
This 75-nucleotide transfer RNA is filed under the name Candidatus Woesearchaeota archaeon. Its description in RNAcentral is "tRNA-Arg". It matches the Rfam family "tRNA". From Rfam's summary of the family: Transfer RNA (tRNA) molecules are approximately 80 nucleotides in length. The record is from RNAcentral. Lineage: Archaea; Nanobdellati; Candidatus Woesearchaeota.